Molecule: long non-coding RNA, 279 nt
Organism: Haliaeetus leucocephalus (bald eagle)
Lineage: Eukaryota; Metazoa; Chordata; Aves; Accipitriformes; Accipitridae
Exons: 3
Source: RefSeq, a predicted model, not a curated record
UAAGCAGCUGUUUUUCAAUUUAUACUUUGAAGUCAGACUUUUGUACAUCAUUGAGCACCCUCUUGGACUUCCUGUAGACUCUCACCAGUUAUACUACACCCUUCUUGAAAAGCAGUACAUCAUCUGGAGGGUUCAACAGGGUCAGUUGAUGACUGGAGUGAACUGUCCCAUCUUUGAAAACUGCUUGUAACUGUGGAAAAGAGAUUAACACAUAUCUUUCUCAGUGACAACUAUUGAACUGGAAGUAUUAUUUUCACAUAUCCUGCAUAUCAGAAAUGG